Molecule: ribosomal RNA, 510 nt
Filed under: uncultured bacterium
Lineage: Bacteria
Description: partial 16S ribosomal RNA
Rfam family: Bacterial small subunit ribosomal RNA
Source: RNAcentral
GACGAACGCUGGCGGCGUGCUUAACACAUGCAAGUCGAACGAAGAGCGAUGGAAGCUUGCUUCUAUCAAUCUUAGUGGCGCACGGGUGAGUAACGCGUAAUCAACCUGCCCUUCAGAGGGGGACAACAGUUGGAAACGACUGCUAAUACCGCAUACGAUCUAAUCUCGGCAUCGAGGAUAGAUGAAAGGUGGCCUCUACAUGUAAGCUAUCACUGAAGGAGGGGAUUGCGUCUGAUUAGCUAGUUGGAGGGGUAACGGCCCACCAAGGCGAUGAUCAGUAGCCGGUCUGGGAGGAUGAACGGCCACAUUGGGACUGAGACACCGCCCAGACUCCUACGGGAGGCAGCAGUGGGGAAUCUUCCGCAAUGGACGAAAGUCUGACGGAGCAACGCCGCGUGAGUGAUGACGGCCUUCGGGUUGUAAAGCUCUGUUAAUCGGGACGAAAGGCCUUCUUGCGAAUAGUGAGAAGGAUUGACGGUACCGGAAUAGAAAGCCACGGCUAACUACGUG